ACUUAAAUUGAAGAGUUUGAUCAUGGCUCAGAUUGAACGCUGGCGGCAGGCCUAACACAUGCAAGUCGAGCGGUAGCACAGAGAGCUUGCUCUCGGGUGACGAGCGGCGGACGGGUGAGUAAUGUCUGGGAAACUGCCUGAUGGAGGGGGAUAACUACUGGAAACGGUAGCUAAUACCGCAUAACGUCGCAAGACCAAAGUGGGGGACCUUCGGGCCUCAUGCCAUCAGAUGUGCCCAGAUGGGAUUAGCUAGU
This 254-nucleotide ribosomal RNA is filed under the name Klebsiella pneumoniae subsp. pneumoniae KPNIH21. Its description in RNAcentral is "partial 16S ribosomal RNA". It matches the Rfam family "Bacterial small subunit ribosomal RNA", at positions 1 to 249 of the family's 1533-position model. The record is from RNAcentral. Lineage: Bacteria; Pseudomonadati; Pseudomonadota; Gammaproteobacteria; Enterobacterales; Enterobacteriaceae.